This 373-nucleotide ribosomal RNA is filed under the name uncultured bacterium. RNAcentral's name for it is "bacterial SSU rRNA". It matches the Rfam family "Bacterial small subunit ribosomal RNA", at positions 527 to 898 of the family's 1533-position model. The record is from RNAcentral.
GAACCGUCCAAACGUUAUUCGGAAUCACUGGGCUUAAAGGGUACGUAGGCGGCGCUGUUAGUCGGGUGUGAAAGCCCUCGGCUCAACCGAGGAAUUGCGCCCGAUACUGCAGUGCUUGAGGGAGACAGAGGUAAGCGGAACUGAUGGUGGAGCGGUGAAAUGCGUUGAUAUCAUCAGGAACACCGGUGGCGAAAGCGGCUUACUGGGUCUCUUCUGACGCUGAGGUACGAAAGCUAGGGGAGCGAAGGGGAUUAGAUACCCCCGUAGUCCUAGCUGUAAACGUUGAGCACUUGAUCGUGGACCCCCCCAUAGGUUCUCGGUCGUAGCGAAAGUGUUAAGUGCUCCGCCUGGGGAGUAUGGUCGCAAGGCUGAA